CCAUACGACCGUACCGCAAACCGACACUGGUGCGCGAGAUGAGUAUUCUAAGGCGCUUGAGAGAACUCAGGAGAAGGAACUCGGCAAAUUGACACCGUAACUUCGGAAGAAGGUGUGCCCUAUUAGUGUGUAGUGAACAACGAAGCAUGAAUGGGUUGCAAAAAAUCGGUGGCUGCGACUGUUUAUUAAAAACACAGCACUCUGCAAACACGAAAGUGGACGUAUAGGGUGUGACGCCUGCCCGGUGCUGGAAGAUUAAAUGAUGGGGUGCAAGCUCUUGAUUGAAGUCCCAGUAAACGGCGGCCGUAACAAUAACGGUCCUAAGGUAGCGAAAUUCCUUGUCGGGUAAGUUCCGACCUGCACGAAUGGCGUAACGAUGGCCACACUGUCUCCUCCUGAGACUCAGCGAAGUUGAAAUGUUUGUGAUGAUGCAAUCUCCCCGCGGAAAGACGGAAAGACCCCAUGAACCUUUACUGUAGCUUUGUAUUGGACUUUGAACAGAUCUGUGUAGGAUAGGUGGGAGGCUUUGAAGCAGGGUCGCUAGAUCUUGUGGAGCCAACGUUGAAAUACCACCCUGGUGUGUUUGAGGUUCUAACCUAGGUCCAUUAUCUGGAUCGGGGACAGUGCAUGGUAGGCAGUUUGACUGGGGCGGUCUCCUCCCAAAGCGUAACGGAGGAGUUCGAAGGUACGCUAGUUACGGUCGGACAUCGUGACGAUAGUGCAAUGGCAUAAGCGUGCUUAACUGCGAGACUGACAAGUCGAGCAGAUGCGAAAGCAGGACAUAGUGAUCCGGUGGUUCUGUAUGGAAGGGCCAUCGCUCAACGGAUAAAAGGUACUCUGGGGAUAACAGGCUGAUACCGCCCAAGAGUUCAUAUCGACGGCGGUGUUUGGCACCUCGAUGUCGGCUCAUCUCAUCCUGGGGCUGUAGCCGGUCCCAAGGGUAUGGCUGUUCGCCAUUUAAAGAGGUACGUGAGCUGGGUUUAAAACGUCGUGAGACAGUUUGGUCCCUAUCUUCCGUGGGCGCUGCAGAUUUGAGGAAGCCUGCUCCUAGUACGAGAGGACCGGAGUGGACACACCUCUGGUGUAUCGGUUGUCACGCCAGUGGCAUUGCCGAGUAGCUAAGUGUGGAAGAGAUAACCGCUGAAAGCAUCUAAGCGGGAAACUCGUUUCAAGAUGAGAUCUGCCGGGGCCUUGAGCCCCCUAAAGAGUCGUUCAAGACCAGGACGUUGAUAGGUCAGGUGUGGAAGCGAU
RNAcentral lists this ribosomal RNA (1251 nucleotides) under metagenome. RNAcentral describes it as "bacterial LSU rRNA". It matches the Rfam family "Bacterial large subunit ribosomal RNA", at positions 1634 to 2877 of the family's 2925-position model. The record is from RNAcentral.